Molecule: unclassified non-coding RNA, 394 nt
Filed under: soil metagenome
Description: partial contains 5.8S ribosomal RNA, internal transcribed spacer 2, and large subunit ribosomal RNA
Rfam family: 5.8S ribosomal RNA (bases 1-122)
Source: RNAcentral
GAUGAAGAACGUAGCGAAAUGCGAUACUUGGUGUGAAUUGCAGAAUCCCGUGAACCAUCGAGUCUUUGAACGCAAGUUGCGCCCGAAGCCAUCAGGUUGAGGGCACGUCUGCCUGGGCGUCACAUAUCGUUGCCCAAUGCCUAUUGCAGUGCAAUAGGAAUUUCUAGGGCGAAUGAUGGCUUCCCGUGAGCGUUGUUGCCUCGCGGUUGGUUGAAAAUCGAGUCCUUGGUAGGGUGUGCCAUGGUAGAUGGUGGUCGAGUUAGAACGAUACCGAUCAUGUGCAUGCUCCCCAAAAUAUGGCCUCUAUGACCCACACGCGUCUUUUGACGCUCAUGACGAGACCUCAGGUCAGGCGGGGCUACCCGCUGAAUUUAAGCAUAUCAUAAGCGGAGGA